CCUACGGGAGGCAGCAGUAAGGAAUAUUGGUCAAUGGACGAAAGUCUGAACCAGCCAUGCCGCGUGGAGGAUGAAGGUCCUCUGGAUUGUAAACUUCUUUUAUCUGGGACGAAAACGGGCCUUUCCAGGCCAACUGACGGUACCAGAUGAAUAAGCACCGGCUAACUCCGUGCCAGCAGCCGCGGUAAUACGGAGGGUGCAAGCGUUAUCCGGAUUCACUGGGUUUAAAGGGUGCGUAGGUGGACAGGUAAGUCAGUGGUGAAAUCUUCCCGCUUAACGGGAAAACUGCCAUUGAUACUCUCUGUCUUGAAUAUUGUGGAGGUGAGCGGAAUAUGUCAUGUAGCGGUGAAAUGCUUAGAUAUGACAUAGAACACCAAUUGCGAAGGCAGCUCACUACGCAUAUAUUGACACUGAGGCACGAAAGCGUGGGGAUCAAACAGGAUUAGAUACCCUGGUAGUCCACGCCCUAAACGAUGGAUACUCGACAUACGCGAUACACAGUGUGUGUCUGAGCGAAAGCAUUAAGUAUCCCACCUGGGAAGUACGACCGCAAGAUUGAAACUCAAAGGAAUUGACGG
Molecule: ribosomal RNA, 578 nt
Filed under: uncultured bacterium
Lineage: Bacteria
Description: bacterial SSU rRNA
Rfam family: Bacterial small subunit ribosomal RNA
Source: RNAcentral